CGUAGGACCCGAGCGUUGUCCGGAUUCACUGGGUAUAAAGGGUGCGUAGGCGGUCUUGUGCGUCAGAGGUGAAAUAUCCGGGCUUAACCCGGAGGGUGCCUUUGAAACGGCGAGACUUGAGUGCGGGAGAGGAUGAUGGAAUUCCUGGUGUAGCGGUGAAAUGCGUAGAUAUCAGGAGGAACACCGGUGGCGAAGGCGGUCAUCUGGUCCGCUACUGACGCUGAGGCACGAAAGCGCGGGGAUCAAACAGGAUUAGAUACCCUGGUAGUCCGCGCCCUAAACGAUGCAUGCUUGGUGUUGGCCUUUUCGGAGGUCAGUGCCGGAGGGAAUCCGGUAAGCAUGCCACCUGGGGAGUACGAUCGCAAGGUUG
Molecule: ribosomal RNA, 370 nt
Filed under: uncultured organism
Description: bacterial SSU rRNA
Rfam family: Bacterial small subunit ribosomal RNA
Source: RNAcentral